AUUGAACGCUGGCGGCAGGCCUAACACAUGCAAGUCGAGCGAGCGGCGGACGGGUGAGUAAUGUAUGGGGACUGCCCGAUAGAGGGGGAUAACUACUGGAAACGGUAGCUAAUACCGCAUACUAUCGGAUAACCCAUAUGGGAUUAGCUAGUAGGUGAGGUAAUGGCUCACCUAGGCGACGAUCCCUAGCUGGUCUGAGAGGAUGAUCAGCCAAACUAGGACGGAGAAACGGGCCAGACUCCUCGGGAGGCAGCAGUGGGGAAGUUUGCACAAUGGGCGAAAGCCUGAUGCAGCCAUGCCGAGUGUAUGAAGAAGGCCCGAGGGUUGUAAAGUACUGUCAGUCGGGAGGCGUUACCGACAGAAGAAGCACCGGCUAACUCCGUGCCAGCAGCCGCGGUAAUAC
This 403-nucleotide ribosomal RNA is filed under the name uncultured bacterium. RNAcentral's name for it is "partial 16S ribosomal RNA". It matches the Rfam family "Bacterial small subunit ribosomal RNA", at positions 30 to 526 of the family's 1533-position model. The record is from RNAcentral.